UUAUUGUUUUUAUUCUACUGGACAGGAGAGGGAUGAUUCCUUUUUCUUAUGGUUUUUUUGAGCCUUAAAAGACUGAUAUCUGAAAAAAAAGGAUAUGGGCUAGUAAUAGCAAAACCUGAGUCAGAUUCAAGGGUACCCAGCUGACAUUACAAUGGAAUGAUGCUAAUGUUUAACUGCUGAGCAAUGUUUUCUGCAAAUGGGUCUUGAAGAUCAAUCUGUUUACAGUAACUCUUCUUCCUUUUUGAAAGUGAUUUUCAUUUUAAUGUCUAAUCCAAUUUUAAUUUUCUACUGAAUAAAGAACAAAAAACUUUGGCAUGA
Long non-coding RNA from Xenopus tropicalis (tropical clawed frog), 318 nucleotides. RefSeq lists it as uncharacterized. Lineage: Eukaryota; Metazoa; Chordata; Amphibia; Anura; Pipidae. The transcript is spliced from 5 exons. The record is from RefSeq and is a predicted model, not a curated record.